This 374-nucleotide long non-coding RNA is filed under the name Crocodylus porosus (Australian saltwater crocodile). RNAcentral's name for it is "lncRNA (ENSCPRG00005009635.1)". The record is from RNAcentral. Lineage: Eukaryota; Metazoa; Chordata; Crocodylia; Crocodylidae.
CCGCGACACAGGUGUCGUCCCCCGCCCACCGCCUUCUUGGGAGCCUGGACGGGACCUGGUCUGGGCCGGCCAAGGACGCAGCCCCCCGGGGCCAGCUCCGCCUCUCGUCUCGGGGCGCGUUUGUGGUGGAGCUCGAGGCAUCCAGAAUCCCACCUCCUCUACUUUCCCUGGAACUCACUGUCUACUUAGCCUGUUGGAGGCAGCUAUUUGGUUUUGCUAGGAACUGGUCCAGUGAGGCUGUGCACAGCGUAUCUUCCCCAAGACUAAAAUGUGUCACUGUGUUUAAGGGUGGAGACUGGGUUUUGCAAAGCUUCUUGGUGUCUUUCUUAAAAGUUACAAUGUGUGAUGAAUCAUACAACCCCUGUGCCCCAUGA